RNAcentral lists this ribosomal RNA (253 nucleotides) under uncultured bacterium. Its description in RNAcentral is "partial 16S ribosomal RNA". It matches the Rfam family "Bacterial small subunit ribosomal RNA", at positions 524 to 776 of the family's 1533-position model. The record is from RNAcentral.
UACGUAGGGUGCGAGCGUUAAUCGGAAUUACUGGGCGUAAAGCGUGCGCAGGCGGUUUUGUAAGCCAGAUGUGAAAUCCCCGGGCUCAACCUGGGAAUGGCAUUUGGGACUGCAAGGCUUGAGUGCGGCAGAGGAGACUGGAAUUCCUGGUGUAGCAGUGAAAUGCGUAGAUAUCAGGAGGAACACCAGUGGCGAAGGCGGUGCUCUGGGCCGGAACUGACGCUGAGGAGCGAAAGCGUGGGGAGCAAACAGG